Molecule: ribosomal RNA, 254 nt
Filed under: uncultured bacterium
Lineage: Bacteria
Description: partial small subunit ribosomal RNA
Rfam family: Bacterial small subunit ribosomal RNA
Source: RNAcentral
AGGACGAACGCUGGCGGCGUGCUUAACACAUGCAAGUCGAGCGGAAAGGCCCUUCGGGGUACUCGAGCGGCGAACGGGUGAGUAACACGUGAGCAACCUGCCCCUAGCUCUGGGAUAGCUCCGGGAAACCGGGAUUAAUACCAGAUACGACCACUUUAGACAUCUGUCGUGGUGGAAAGGAUUCCGGCUAGGGAUGGGCUCGCGGCCUAUCAGCUUGUUGGUGGGGUAACGGCCUACCAAGGCGACGACGGGUA